This 200-nucleotide ribosomal RNA is filed under the name uncultured bacterium. RNAcentral's name for it is "partial 16S ribosomal RNA". It matches the Rfam family "Bacterial small subunit ribosomal RNA", at positions 8 to 219 of the family's 1533-position model. The record is from RNAcentral.
AGAGUUUGAUCAUGGCUCAGGACGAACGCUGGCGGCGUGCUUAACACAUGCAAGUCGAACGAGAUCCUUCGGGGUCUAGUGGCGAACGGGUGAGUAACACGUGAGCAACCUGCCCCUGGCUCUGGGAUAGCCUCCGGAAACGGUGAUUAAUACCGGACAGGACCUGCGUCGGCAUCGGCGCGGGUGGAAAGUUUUUCGGC